AAAAAGUGGGUAUGAUCUUGGCCCCGCUCGAGCGCGUGCAGAAUGUUUAACACAUGCAAGUCUUCUUUUUUUUUGCUUUUUCAUAAGAGCAAAAAAGAAGAGGCAUACGGGUGCGUAGAAACCGAAAAUUUAUAAAUUUAAAAGUUUUAAAGACUUUAUAUAAAAAUAGAAUAGUCUAUAAAGUUCGGUUUGGAUUAGGUUGUUGGGUCUAUUGUUUGCUAAAAACUUUUGGCGAAAAAAAAUGAGUCUAAAAUUUUUAGAUGUGGUAAAGGCACCCCAAGCCAAGGAUCCAUAGCCUUCCUGAACGGGAGAAAGGCCACAGUGGGACUGAAACAAGGCCCAUCCGCAUUUGCGGCAGCAGUGAAGAAUCUUUGACAAUGGGCGAAAGCCUGAUCAUGCAUUUCUGCGUAAGAUAUGGAAGAAAAGAUUCCAUCGUUCUAAGGGAAGGCAAAUUGUCGGAACCCUUGUUUAUUUUUGGCAAAGAAAAAAAAACUUUGGUCCUUUUUAAAAAAGGAUUUAUAAAAAAUGUUUUUUAAUCUAUAGAAACCAAAACUUUAGACCAAAAAACGUUUUUGAAAAACUAAAAAUAAAAUCCCUGGCAAACUCUGUGCCAGCCGCCGCGGUAAUACAGAGAGGGAGAGUGUUGAGCGAAUGGACUAGGCAUAAAAAGCAGGUAGGUUGUUUGUUAAGUUCUAAGAUUAUUUUUUUGAAAGUUCAAAAAAGAUCUAAGAAAAUAACUUUCUUGAAUAUUUCUAUGGGUAAGGGAAUGGCCCUAGGACUGGUAGAAUAGUAGCAUAAGGGUUGGAACGUCCAAAGCGAAGGCACUUACCUGGGAAAUAAUUGACACUGAGCUGCGGAAGUGUGGAGACCAAAUGAGAUUAGAGACCUCAGUAGCCCACACCGUCAACGAUGAGUGCUUUACAGAUAUUUUUCUGUGAACGCCAAGUGUAGAAGCACUCUGCCUGGGGAGUACCGUCGCAAGGCAGAAACUCAAAAGAAUUGACUGCUAGAGAGAACAAUGGUGGAACAUUGGGGUUUAAUAGAAAACGGAAUUGACAAAGUCAUCUGGAAUACUCCAGAAGCC
RNAcentral lists this ribosomal RNA (1084 nucleotides) under Tetradesmus obliquus. RNAcentral's name for it is "small subunit ribosomal RNA". It matches the Rfam family "Bacterial small subunit ribosomal RNA", at positions 1 to 993 of the family's 1533-position model. Lineage: Eukaryota; Viridiplantae; Chlorophyta; Chlorophyceae; Sphaeropleales; Scenedesmaceae. The record is from RNAcentral.